Oreochromis niloticus (Nile tilapia) is the source of this 382-nucleotide long non-coding RNA. RefSeq lists it as uncharacterized. Lineage: Eukaryota; Metazoa; Chordata; Actinopteri; Cichliformes; Cichlidae. The transcript is spliced from 2 exons. The record is from RefSeq and is a predicted model, not a curated record.
GAGGAGUUUCCUUCAGUGUCUGCCUUAUAUCUCACAGCUCAGUUUUGUGCCUCUGUCAUUUCAACAUUUGGAGACAAUCAGAUUCAUAGUGAAUCUGUUCUGUGCAGCAGCAGAGCGAGAACAGCAGACAGGAGAGAAGAUACUGGAGCUGUUAUCAUCAGUGUGCACAUACAGAGGAUUUACAGUUAAUGAAAUAUGGUGUGAUUUCCUGCUGGAUCUGUACUCUCAUGUGGAGGACUGUGAGGCUAAAACAGGCUUGAGUGUCCUUCCAUCAUUACAGUCAGUUUUCCAGUCAGCUCCUGCAGUCUGGUCCAUAAACCUCUCAGAGAGAAAGACCUCCAUCCUCCUGGAAGUGCUGAAACUCCAACCAGAGAAGAAAAAA